GACGAACGCUGGCGGCGUGCCUAAUACAUGCAAGUCGAACGCUUCUUUCCUCCCGAGUGCUUGCCCUCAAUUGGAAAGAGGAGUGGCGGACGGGUGAGUAACACGUGGGUAACCUACCCAUCAGAGGGGGAUAACACUUGGAAACAGGUGCUAAUACCGCAUAACAGUUUAUGCCGCAUGGCAUAAGAGUGAAAGGCGCUUUCGGGUGUCGCUGAUGGAUGGACCCGCGGUGCAUUAGCUAGUUGGUGAGGUAAUGGCUCACCAAGGCCACGAUGCAUAGCCGACCUGAGAGGGUGAUCGGCCACACUGGGACUGAGACACGGCCCAGACUCCUACGGGAGGCAGCAGUAGGGAAUCUUCGGCAAUGGACGAAAGUCUGACCGAGCAACGCCGCGUGAGUGAAGAAGGUUUUCGGAUCGUAAAACUCUGUUGUUAGAGAAGAACAAGGACGUUAGUAACUGAACGUCCCCUGACGGUAUCUAACCGGAAAGCCACGGCUAACUACGUG
Molecule: ribosomal RNA, 508 nt
Filed under: uncultured bacterium
Lineage: Bacteria
Description: partial 16S ribosomal RNA
Rfam family: Bacterial small subunit ribosomal RNA
Source: RNAcentral